This is a small nucleolar RNA of Tachyglossus aculeatus (Australian echidna), 138 nucleotides long. NCBI's taxonomy places the organism in Eukaryota, Metazoa, Chordata, Mammalia, Monotremata, Tachyglossidae. The record is from RefSeq and is a predicted model, not a curated record.
CCCCUCUCAGGAUUGCACCUGGAGAGUUUCCAGUACUCUGCCAGUCUCGGCUAUGGGAGGGAAAGUCAAGCAGAGGCAUACCCAUUCCAUUGUUAGCUUGGGCAGAAACUAGCGAAUGGAAGGCAAUUCUCUACAAGU